RNAcentral lists this long non-coding RNA (1137 nucleotides) under Fukomys damarensis (Damara mole-rat). Its description in RNAcentral is "lncRNA (ENSFDAG00000031297.1)". The record is from RNAcentral. Lineage: Eukaryota; Metazoa; Chordata; Mammalia; Rodentia; Bathyergidae.
CUGCCUUCCAGGAAGUAAGGCUCUGCUUCCCAGGCAGGAGAGUCUGUUUUGUCUGUGGGCCCAGGGGAACCACUUUCUCUUCUGGGAGCCUCAGUGAGGAGCGACACCAGCAAACUGGCAGCAGGUCAGGCGGAAGGCCAGCAUGGUGCUCCCAUGCGGUGCUCUCUCCUGGACUCCCUUGGUCCCCCAAGAAGCUCUCCUGCUGCCAACCUCAGCAGGUGGUUGCUAAACACAGAACUCAGAAGGGCUUCUAGAAGUGGUGUUUAGAACAGAUGGGGACCCCGUCGCCCUCAUGGCCAUGUGUGGGAUAAGCAGGUGGUUUUAAAGCUUGUACAGCUGAAGGGGCUGCGUGGUCUCAGGACACACUGGAAAUGAAAGUCAGGACAUAUAGGGGCAGACCGCACCACCAGGACCGUGAUCUCCAAAUGGUGCCUCUGGCCUCAAGGAGAAGGUGUGCACGGAGGCUUGUUCUGGCAACGAAGAAAGGCGAAGAAAGGCAGGCUAUGUGCUGGCUCCUGUGCUGGGCAGGGAGAGGGGCUCAAGUACUAGGAGACACUGUCCGUCCUGAAGGGACUCCCAGCGUAGGAGGCAAACCCGAUAGCCGGAGAAACAACCGUCCUCACAGUUGCGCGCCGUAGCAGCGGCUGUAGGCCACACCUGCUCAAAGGUGUUGGCCCAUUUAUUUUUCUCAACUCUCGGGGGCAGGAAUGAAAUAUGUGGCGAAUGUUUACAUUAAAAUGUGAUCACAGGACAAGACACGUGGUCAUCAGCCCUCUCUCAUCCCACUGUUUUUGUCACUUUCUGCAGCAGCUCUGGCCGUCUGCUUCCUGAGUGUCUUUGUGAGUUGUGAUCACAAACGCAGCAGGGAGCGCUGCUGAGGAGAGCCAGCCAGUGGGGGCUGGGUGAUCUGUGUCCCCUUUAUAGGCCAGGCCUGGCGCUGUGUGACUCCCGGCUCCUUCCCAACGUCGAAAUGCUAAAGAAAAGUAAAUAUUUCGAUUCGAUUCAGGACAGCAAGGCAGCCGCAACAGCACGACUCAGUGGAAGUGGUAAGAAUGCUGGGAUAAACGUCUUCAAACCAAAAGAGGAGUAUUUUGAGGCAGAUCAGUGCCCAUGGAUCUUGUACUGUGACAAUUUUUU